Molecule: ribosomal RNA, 253 nt
Filed under: uncultured bacterium
Lineage: Bacteria
Description: partial 16S ribosomal RNA
Rfam family: Bacterial small subunit ribosomal RNA
Source: RNAcentral
GACAGAGGUGCCGAGCGUUAGGCGGAAUCACUGGGCUUAAAGCGUGUGUAGGCGGGCCGUUAAGUGUCUUGUGAAAUCCCGCGGCUCAACCGUGGAACUGCCUUAGAUACUGACGGCCUCGAGGGAGAUAGGGGCAUGCGGAACUGUAGGUGGAGCGGUGAAAUGCGUUGAUAUCUACAGGAACUCCGGUGGCGAAGGCGGCGUGCUGGAUCUCUUCUGACGCUGAGGCGCGAAAGCAUGGGGAGCGAACAGG